Molecule: ribosomal RNA, 384 nt
Filed under: uncultured bacterium
Lineage: Bacteria
Description: bacterial SSU rRNA
Rfam family: Bacterial small subunit ribosomal RNA
Source: RNAcentral
AUUGAACGCUGGCGGCAUGCCUUACACAUGCAAGUCGAACGGCAGCACGGGAGCUUGCUCCUGGUGGCGAGUGGCGAACGGGUGAGUAAUACAUCGGAACGUACCCAGGAGUGGGGGAUAACGUAGCGAAAGUUACGCUAAUACCGCAUAUUCUGUGAGCAGGAAAGCGGGGGAUCGCAAGACCUCGCGCUCUUGGGAGCGGCCGAUGUCGGAUUAGCUAGUUGGUGAGGUAAAAGCUCACCAAGGCGACGAUCCGUAGCAGGUCUGAGAGGAUGAUCUGCCACACUGGGACUGAGACACGGCCCAGACUCCUACGGGAGGCAGCAGUGGGGAAUUUUGGACAAUGGGGGCAACCUGAUCCAGCCAUGCCGCGUGAGUGAAGAA